RNAcentral lists this ribosomal RNA (722 nucleotides) under Vibrio sp. MR08-74. RNAcentral's name for it is "bacterial SSU rRNA". It matches the Rfam family "Bacterial small subunit ribosomal RNA", at positions 97 to 815 of the family's 1533-position model. Lineage: Bacteria; Pseudomonadati; Pseudomonadota; Gammaproteobacteria; Vibrionales; Vibrionaceae. The record is from RNAcentral.
GGCGGACGGGUGAGUAAUGCCUAGGAAAUUGCCCUGAUGUGGGGGAUAACCAUUGGAAACGAUGGCUAAUACCGCAUAAUACCUACGGGUCAAAGAGGGGGACCUUCGGGCCUCUCGCGUCAGGAUAUGCCUAGGUGGGAUUAGCUAGUUGGUGAGGUAAUGGCUCACCAAGGCGACGAUCCCUAGCUGGUCUGAGAGGAUGAUCAGCCACACUGGAACUGAGACACGGUCCAGACUCCUACGGGAGGCAGCAGUGGGGAAUAUUGCACAAUGGGCGCAAGCCUGAUGCAGCCAUGCCGCGUGUGUGAAGAAGGCCUUCGGGUUGUAAAGCACUUUCAGUCGUGAGGAAGGUAGUGUAGUUAAUAGCUGCAUUAUUUGACGUUAGCGACAGAAGAAGCACCGGCUAACUCCGUGCCAGCAGCCGCGGUAAUACGGAGGGUGCGAGCGUUAAUCGGAAUUACUGGGCGUAAAGCGCAUGCAGGUGGUUUGUUAAGUCAGAUGUGAAAGCCCGGGGCUCAACCUCGGAAUAGCAUUUGAAACUGGCAGACUAGAGUACUGUAGAGGGGGGUAGAAUUUCAGGUGUAGCGGUGAAAUGCGUAGAGAUCUGAAGGAAUACCGGUGGCGAAGGCGGCCCCCUGNNCAGAUACUGACACUCAGAUGCGAAAGCGUGGGGAGCAAACAGGAUUAGAUACCCUGNUAGNCCACGCCGUAAACGAUGUCUA